Molecule: ribosomal RNA, 441 nt
Filed under: Microbacteriaceae bacterium LMG 26815
Lineage: Bacteria; Bacillati; Actinomycetota; Actinomycetes; Micrococcales; Microbacteriaceae
Description: bacterial SSU rRNA
Rfam family: Bacterial small subunit ribosomal RNA
Source: RNAcentral
CUGGCUCAGGACGAACGCUGGCGGCGUGCUUAACACAUGCAAGUCGAACGGUGAUGUCAGAGCUUGCUCUGGCGGAUCAGUGGCGAACGGGUGAGUAACACGUGAGUAACCUGCCCCCGACUCUGGGAUAACUGCUAGAAAUGGUAGCUAAUACCGGAUAUGACGACUGGCCGCAUGGUCUGGUCGUGGAAAGAAUUUCGGUUGGGGAUGGACUCGCGGCCUAUCAGGUUGUUGGUGAGGUAAUGGCUCACCAAGCCUACGACGGGUAGCCGGCCUGAGAGGGUGACCGGCCACACUGGGACUGAGACACGGCCCAGACUCCUACGGGAGGCAGCAGUGGGGAAUAUUGCACAAUGGGCGCAAGCCUGAUGCAGCAACGCCGCGUGAGGGAUGACGGCCUUCGGGUUGUAAACCUCUUUUAGUAGGGAAGAAGCGAAAGUG